Molecule: ribosomal RNA, 464 nt
Filed under: uncultured bacterium
Lineage: Bacteria
Description: partial 16S ribosomal RNA
Rfam family: Bacterial small subunit ribosomal RNA
Source: RNAcentral
GACGAACGCUGGCGGCGUGCCUAACACAUGCAAGUCGAGCGAAUGAAGUUCCUUCGGGAAUGGAUUUAGCGGCGGACGGGUGAGUAACACGUGGGCAACCUGCCUCAUAGAGGGGAAUAGCCUUCCGAAAGGGAGAUUAAUACCGCAUAAGAUUGUAGUAUCGCAUGAUACAGCAAUUAAAGGAGCAAUCCGCUAUGAGAUGGGCCCGCGGCGCAUUAGCUAGUUGGUGAGGUAACGGCCCACCAAGGCGACGAUGCGUAGCCGACCUGAGAGGGUGAUCGGCCACAUUGGGACUGAGACACGGCCCAGACUCCUACGGGAAGCAGCAGUGGGGAAUAUUGCACAAUGGGGGAAACCCUGAUGCAGCAACGCCGCGUGAGUGAUGACGGCCUUCGGGUUGUAAAGCUCUGUCUUCAGGGACGAUAAUGACGGUACCUGAGGAGGAAGCCACGGCUAACUACGUG